Molecule: transfer RNA, 75 nt
Filed under: Yersinia enterocolitica
Lineage: Bacteria; Pseudomonadati; Pseudomonadota; Gammaproteobacteria; Enterobacterales; Yersiniaceae
Also listed under: 1 other name
Description: tRNA-Gly
Rfam family: tRNA
About the family: Transfer RNA (tRNA) molecules are approximately 80 nucleotides in length. Their secondary structure includes four short double-helical elements and three loops (D, anti-codon, and T loops).
Source: RNAcentral
GCGGCCAUCGUAUAAUGGCCAUUACCUCAGCCUUCCAAGCUGAAGAUGCGGGUUCGAUUCCCGCUGGCCGCUCCA